AGGCAUAAGCCACAAAAUCAUGAGAUAUAUAGAAAGGUGUGACAACUCCUACUUGUUGCCUGGGCUACAAUGCAUAUACUUUAGGAAGUAUCUCUGGUCCAAACUCAUAAUCCAAUUAUGCCCCUUAAUCACAUAUUAUGUGUCUUAGGACCUAUUACAGGUUUGCUCAUGUGGGUGCUCGCUAGUGACCAACAUCUUAUCAUGAGAUCAUAGCAUUCUUCUCUUUACUUUUAAAUUUUUGUUUCCAUUUCUUUCUUUUUCCUAUACAAGUGCCAUGCUCUCACCCUUCCUCUAUCAAUGAAAACACACCUCUCAUGUGUACUUACACUCAGCCGAAUUCCAUCUAGCAAUGCUCUUGUCCCGUUCUCAUGAAUGAACGAUUCCUCUCAGUCAAUGGUAUACAAUCCAUCAGAAACUUCAAGAAAACAACCAUGCUCCAUACAACUCAAGAUGUUGGCCUUUUUACUUCCACCAGAAACUUCAAGAAAACAACCAUGAUCCAUACAACUCAAGAUGUUAGCCUUUUUACUUCUCUGACGACCAGCCAACAUUACUUUCCGCCUUCCAAUGUGCAUGCAUACAAUGGAACAACUCAUAAACAUGAAAGAAAUAGAUUGUAAGACACAGAUAUAUUCAACCUAAAAUCUGUUGUGUAUUUCGGAUUUGGACGACCAUUUACCCAUAAUAACAGACGAAUGAUUGAUUGCAAAAGAGCUAUGGAGGAAACUUCACAAGCACCAUACUCAUUAAUUCCACUCACAAGCCUUUUCUCGUAGAAUUUCACAACUUUAUAAGACAUCUUUAAAAACCAGCCAUCAGUAAAUAGAUCUCUCAAUCCAGAAAUGGUAUGCACAUAUUAAACAUUUCACUCCAUUCGGGUCCAUAUUAUGUUUGAAACAAGUCAAAAGGCUUGCCAUUUUCAUUGAAUAAGACGAAGAUUUUAAGAAUCACUCUCGCGGCAUUAUAUUACACAAAUAUUUUGCCCGACAAGGCACCCCGAUGAUGCCUCCGCUUUGAUGUGUCACAAGCACAACGACCGGAGUCGCAUUGUUGCGGAACACCCGAGCAUUUCGCUCAUUCCAAAUUUCCCAAGAGAUAGGAAUAAGGGAAACAAGCGGCCUUCGAGAUUGCGACCUCCCUUAAGUGUUGCUGCGCCACCACUCCUUGACGGAAACCAUGCCUCCCUAGUCCGUAGGAUGAACAUCAUGUAAACCAAGCCAUGUUUUGAUCAUUGCCCAAACUCUGGCUGCAUAUUCUGUAUAAAAGGAUCAAGUAGACAUGGAAGUAUGCUCAUAUAUUGUUGAAUCCUAUAAAACAUUUAAAAGGUAAUCCGCCGCAUUUUAAUAGCACUCUGUUUCUUAAAUAAGUGACAUUUUACUUGCCAGUUUGCAAGGUACAAAUUGAAACAUGAACUAUAGUAAAAACAUAAUCAUAAAGUCAUAAAUAAAUUUAUAGAAUCCCUCUAUCAAUAUUUCUGUAAAAUUUACUGUGUUUAAUGCUACAAAGAAUAGCAACUUGAAUUUCCACGAGGAGAAGUAUAUAUAGUUAUAUACACAUGCAGGUCUGCGCUUUCAAAUUUAGCAAAGCAUGAGCCAAAAUAACUUACGGAGUGGUGCGUUUUUGUUGCUUGUUGGUGUUCUAUGUGUCCCGACCACACUGGCGCUCAAUUCCUGCAGGAGUGCUGAAGACCGAGAGGAGGCGAUUCUGCCAAGCAUAACCUACUGCCCAAGCAGAUGUCAUUUAUUUAUGGAGAAGAGGGUAUUACAUACAAUUUUUUUGCGAGGCAGUUCAAUUUAAUGGGAAAAAUAUACCCUAGACAAGAUGUUGCAAUUGCAAACGCCUCACAUAAUAAAUUAUGUUCUAUAAUGAGAACACAAUCCAAUCCUUGAUGAGAAGACAUUUUUUCAAUGAUUCCCUUGUACCAUCAACAAAUCAAUUUGAAGAACAGAAAAAGUAUAUUAUUGUGAGAGUGCAUAUUGAAAGAAAAACGUGUACGAACUGGAUGAAAUAAUUACCCAUUUAAAUGGACUAAGAAAUAAGCAUAGAGGACUCUGGAGAUUGGAGUCAGCAUACCGAAGAGGAAAUGCAGGAAAUGGAAUACCCCACUGGCCUCACCGAAUAAUAAGUCCCUCGGUUCAUUGAUUCAUCACCUUGAGGUAAAUAUCGUAGCACCGCCUGCUCCUCUUCUUUGAAUCAUUAUUGUUUGUAAACAUAGUCUUUAGCCAUAGUCUGUAGUACUAUGCCAGCCCAUUGAGACCAACACGACACAUAGUCAAAUGUUAUAGUACGCAACUGAGGAUACAUGAGGAAAAUGAAAGGACUUUGCACUUGUGCAUUGGCAAAAAGCUUCCAAGGCAUAAGCCACAAAACCAUGAUAUAUAGAAAGGUGUGACAACUCUCGAGUUUAGUACACCGAAUUUUGAAAAACACUGAAAAAACAUGAUAAAACAAAAUCCAAAAAAUCUAAAAUUUUGAGACAAAAAUAAUUAUCAAAUGCUUGAGCUUCAUGCAAAAUUUGAGCGAAAAAUAACAUCCGAGGAACUCUCACCAUAAAAAACAAAAUCACUGCUCAAAGAGUGCAUAAAACUUUUAAGCAGGACGUAUUGAUCUUUCAUGUUACUUUACCUGGAAAGGGUAAGAACAAACGCACCGCAAACGCAAGAAAAGCAGUCCACAGCCCAUAUUCACUCCUAAAUUAGGAAUCGACAUGAUAGUAUAAGUAGGCCAAAAGUAAGUGUUCUUGUCUCAAAAAGAAUAAACAUCCAGUAGCUAUAGCAAGGAAAGGGGAAAAGGUAUCAUCAGAUAAUUCUUUAGGCCAAAUAGCAGAAUCUUACUUGAUUCAUGAAAUUACACUGCUAGGUGCUUGCAGAAGAAACAAUGGCACAAGGAAAGAUUUGUGUAUGCAUAGCAAGCAAUAGCAAGAGGCAAAAGAAUAAUGAUAAAUAAAUGCUAAAAUAAUAAUCGUUGAGAGGGGGGGGGGAGGGGUUACACUGUAGUUCAAAAUAAUCCAUUCAUUUUAUUAUAAAACCAAAUAUGCAGCAGAAUAAAAAAUUCUACAAGGUGAGUAGUAGUAGAUGAGUUUUCGAAGAAUGGAUAACUUUCCUACCACAAGGACUGCUGAAAAACAGUGCGAAAAUAUUAUAAAGCAUUUCAUCAAGCAUUCCUGUUCAGGUCCUAGGUAUUCUAAAAUCCCUUCUUGCCAUGUAUGUAUUCCUAUACACAUAUAGCCUAAAAUGCUAUAGUUAACAAAAGUCAAGACACUAUAAAAAUAUAUUAAAAAAACUUCAUCAGAAUAGUCUCGGUAUUCAAUUGCUAUCUUCUGAUGACAUCUGGGUCAUUGUAUGUUGAAAUUGCAAACUGACAAUAAUUACACCAUAUGUCCACUGAAUAAGUAACUGCAAGAACUACCCGUUCAUACAUCUCCAUCUGUCCAUAUUCACAAGGAUUUCGCUGUCAUAGAUGUAGAGUAUUUACUAUUUAUAGUGAUUAGUCACACGCACACACCCUAAAAUCCGACACAAGGAUCAACAAAAACACCUUAUCUUCUUUUACUUCCAUCACAUUCCAUUUCUUUUGACAAAAGCUAGCGAGUUCUUGCAGUUUCAAUAACAAGUAGUUCUUGCAGUUUCAAUAACAAGUAGGUAGUUGAAACUCACAUCAAACUAAUGUUCCAACUAUACAAAUAAACAACUAAAAAUGAAAAAAAUGGAGAUGCGUAGCUUGUUCAAAUAAAAAAGUCACAUAAACUAAAUUUUCCUAAUAAAACCUGUUUGUAUAGCUUAUUCUAAUUAAAAUGUUUAAUAUCACGUGAGCAACAUGUUUCAGAAUAAUGAUAAUUAAAUGAAAGCAAUUGGCUAGUUAAUAAGAAAUAUUAGAGCAUUUAGAUCACUACUUUAGUAUUCUAAAUGCUCCUAUAUUUCCUUACAGAGGAUGUACAUACAGUUGCAGGAAGGUAAGUGUGCAUAUACAUGACAAAAGAAGAAAGUGUUCAUGGUCAGGGCUAUGAGAUUAACAUACCAGCUCUAUCAACUGUUAUUUCUAAUUCAGUAAAUUUGGUACAAAGCUUUUAUAAAGUAGCCCUUAGGACAACAAGUAUGAGUUGUCACACUAAAUAACCCCCUUCAUGGUACAUGUGUUGCACAUUUCAUGGGCACCACAGAAUGAGGGUCGAACAAACAAACUACUCACCCUAACACCCCGUCCGCCCGGGAACGGGACGAGAUGGAAUCAUGAGAUUUGAUCUCAUCUCAUUUCCUAUCCAUGUAUACUCGCAAACCACUGCCGGUAGGAUCGCACUGAUUACUGCCAAUUUGUUCCUUCACCCAAAACUUUGUCAAGAACAAACAGUGAUCAAUACUCCCACCCUAGCCAUAACUAAAUAACUAACAAACGAGGUGCAAAACAGAGGAUGGAUUAUUGAAUCAACUUGCUAAUGUAGUUCUUUUUUCAGUACGACCCUUGAGAGCAUUUUAUUCUUUCGAGUGAAACUUAUAGACUUGACAUGAGGAACCUGGACUUGAACUCUUGACACAACUAAUAUAUUAAAUAGCUUCAGAAUAACUGGACACAUACAUGUGUUCAUCUUUUCAGAGUCUCCACACAUACAUGUGCCCAUCUGCUCUGUAGGAUCCUAUGCAAUACACAGAUGUUUCCACUGUCAUGCAUGACACAACUUCAAAAGUGUUUGGCAUGUAUUAUCUGAAAGUCAAACUUACGUCUAUGCAUAUCCUGUAACAUGUAAGUCGAAACCCAAUGUAUCCCAAGGUUUCGGCCUUGCAAUCCCUAUGCAACAUUGCAUCUCCCAUUUGAUGUUGCUACUGCCAUGACAUGACGCGCCUAUAGCGAAAUCUCACCGGGCAUGUGGAAUCCUCGUCCGUGAAAAAUCGUCUCAAGGCUUUCUCCGGCAUAGGAGCUGAGAGGAGAAACCUCGAAGCUUAUGAGGGAAAGGGAUCAUGAGAAAGAUGAUCAUAAAAGUUCUAUGUUGAAAGGCCUGACUUGUAAUUUAAUUCUACAAGUUUCUGGGUACAGGAAAUGGUGAGAAAUUACCCAUCCGCUAUGCAGUUGGAGUAGCAUCAGGUGUCAUAGGUUGUGCCAUUCACGUUCUUCACUGGCGCAAAUUCCUCUUCGUGUAGCACCUGAAUUUUCAGAUAUGCACCUAUGAGUAUCUCAAGGUUUUAAAGCUCACAAAAAACAGGAAAAGAAGAGGGAGCAGAAGAUGCUAUAUUAGGGCAGAUUUUUGAAAGUCGAACCUCAAAAAGUGUCAUGGACAGGGAUUAAAUGGAUAUGUCAAAUAUGAACUGCUCAAGCUUCAGGCCUAUCAUACAUCCAUGAAUCAAAGGUACCUAAAUGCCAUGUGCUGUAACAGAACAUGAUUUAUGCUUGAGCAUGGCAAUUGCCAAGUAAAUUACUUGCCAUGACAUGCCUAGCAGAUCCUUAAAUCACAAACUUUAGCUCUAGAUGUAAUUCCCAUUCUCCUAGGAAAAUUUAAGAAAUACAAGCAUUAAGCAUCAAGUAGGUAAAAUAGUAAUGAUCUACUGUUAAAACCAGAUUAGUUUGGAAGAGACAAACAAAGGAGUGGCCUAAAAAAACAUUGGAUUUGAAGGUGACGAUGCUACUAAUAAUAGAUCCAUUCUGCUUGGAUCUUCAAAAUGUGAGGAAAGGAAACGUGCCUGAGUUUGCUUAUAUCACUCCAAUAAAUCACCUUUGUUCUCACCCCGCACUCUAAGUGCAUAAAACUUUUAAGCAGGACGUAUUGAUCUUUCAUGUUACUUUACCUGGAAAGGGUAAGAACAAACGCACCGCAAAUGCAAGAAAAGCAGUCCACAACCCAUAUUCACUCCUAAAUUAGGAAUCGACAUGAUAGUAUAAGUAGGCCAAAAGUAAGUGGUCUUGUCUCAAAAAGAAUAAACAUCCAGUAGCUAUAGCAAGGAAAGGGGAAAAGGUAU
RNAcentral lists this long non-coding RNA (5945 nucleotides) under Triticum aestivum (bread wheat). Its description in RNAcentral is "long non-coding RNA (TAES_LNC016697)". Lineage: Eukaryota; Viridiplantae; Streptophyta; Magnoliopsida; Poales; Poaceae. The record is from RNAcentral.